RNAcentral lists this ribosomal RNA (468 nucleotides) under uncultured bacterium. RNAcentral describes it as "partial 16S ribosomal RNA". It matches the Rfam family "Bacterial small subunit ribosomal RNA", at positions 28 to 507 of the family's 1533-position model. The record is from RNAcentral.
GACGAACGCUGGCGGCGUGCUUAACACAUGCAAGUCGAACGGAAAGGCCCUGCUUUUGUGGGGUGCUCGAGUGGCGAACGGGUGAGUAACACGUGAGUAACCUGCCCUUGACUUUGGGAUAACUUCAGGAAACUGGGGCUAAUACCGGAUAGGAGCUCCUGCUGCAUGGUGGGGGUUGGAAAGUUUCGGCGGUUGGGGAUGGACUCGCGGCUUAUCAGCUUGUUGGUGGGGUAGUGGCUUACCAAGGCUUUGACGGGUAGCCGGCCUGAGAGGGUGACCGGCCACAUUGGGACUGAGAUACGACCCAGACUCCUACAGGAGGCAGCAGUGCAGAAUAUUCCACAAUGGGCGGAAGCCUGAUGCAGCAACGCCGCGUGCGGGAUGACGGCCUUCGGGUUGUAAACCGCUUUCGCCUGUGACGAAGCGUGAGUGACGGUAAUGGGUAAAGAAGCACCGGCUAACUACGUG